AACGCACCUUGCACCCUUUGGUAUUCCGAAGGGUACACCCGUUUGAGUGUCAUUGUAAUCUCACCCCAGAUUAUUUCUGGGUGUGGACUUGGACGCUGUCGCGUGUCGUGACUCGUCUGGAAUGCCUCAGUGUACCCCGCUCGUCGGCGUAGACAGUGUGAUAAGUAUCUUCACUGCUCAAGUCUCCUCGGAGAUGCGCUCUCGGGACCGGCCCUGCGCUGCCAACCGUCUUCGGACAACUUUCUGACAAUUUGACCUCAAAUCGGGUGGGAUUACCCGCUGAACUUAA
Molecule: unclassified non-coding RNA, 289 nt
Filed under: uncultured fungus
Lineage: Eukaryota; Fungi
Description: sequence contains ITS2
Source: RNAcentral